Molecule: long non-coding RNA, 1184 nt
Filed under: Vulpes vulpes (red fox)
Lineage: Eukaryota; Metazoa; Chordata; Mammalia; Carnivora; Canidae
Description: lncRNA (ENSVVUG00000027605.1)
Source: RNAcentral
AGAUAGAUGAAAGCCUGAAAAGAAUCUUCUAGAAAGAAACCAGGCUUGCAACAAAGACUUUCUACGUCUCUUUAGAUCCACCCACAGCCCUGUGGCUCCUUCACUUUAUGUUCAGUGAGGCAUCAAUCACUCAGCCGAUGUGGAACACAGGAAGAGCUCAGGAAAAUGCUGAGGGCUGGAGAGUGUUUCAUUUCAUAAAGAACCAUGCUAAGAGCCACAGCCACCACCUUUUUUUUCCUUUUUUUUUAAGAAUAAUUUUUGUUUUUUUUUUAAAUUAUAAAAACUAAGUUCAUGGAAAAACAUUUAGAAAAUGCAAGAAAUACUUUAAAACAUUAAAAUUAUCUUUAGCUCAACUCCCUGACAUUUUGAUGUGUUUCUUUCCAGUGGGGAAGACCUCGUAUACCACUGCAGCAGGCGGGAGCCAGAAGUGGGUCAGAACUCUGGAUGAAGUGCUUGAGGCUCCAGAUCUGGACGCCCUGCUUCUUGGUCAACCAGCAGAGACUUCCUAAGGCUGGAGCCUGAGAGGGUGCUCUGGUCUGUCCAUUUCUUCAUCCCGAGGAGGAUGCUUAGAGCUGCAUUCUUCCCCCAGGCCCACUCCUGAAGUUCUGCAACUCUUCAUGAGCAGCUGCAGUUGCCCCAGAGGAAUCACUCCCUCCUCAAGAAUUUCAUCUCUGGGCCUGAAAUUCCACCCCGAGAGGUCCACUCAUUUGCACGUGGAAGACUUGUUAGUUUGCAGAGCUUGCACACUUGAGUACAAAUACCGUUAUCGACAGGUAAGACCUUGGUUUGACUCUGAUCAACAAAACAUUCAGACUUUGUCAGGAUGAAAUUCUAGAUUAGGAGCUGGAGAAGAGAUUCCUGGAGGAGGAAGAGAAAAAAGUGGAAAAGCAGUGAGACAGACUUACACUGUACCCACUCACUGUGUGUGCCGGGCACUUGCCGAGGUUUACGUUACGUAACCUUUGUUAUGUUGCUGGGAGGGAUGGGUUACUGAGCCCACCUGAAAGAUGAGAAGACUGGGAAUCCAAAAAGUUGACUAAAUUGCUCAGAUCGUUACAGAGUACUUACUUUACUUUAACUCUGGUUAUUUUUCUGUGUUAGUGCCUACAGAUUCACUUUCGAGUAUUUCUUCUUUUAAUCAACCCAUGUCUCUUACAUUAGAUAUUAAGUAUCUUUGGUCGUUU